CCUACGGGUGGCGGCAGUGGGGAAUAGUGCGCAAUGGGCGAAAGCCGGACGCAGCGACGCAGCGUGAGGGAGGAAGGUCUUCGGAGCGGAAAACUCUGUCAGCAGGGAAGAACGGUCACUGUGCUAAUCAGCAGUGAAUUGACGGUACCUGCAAAGGAAGCACCGUCUAACUCCGUGCCGGCAGCCGCGGUAAUACGGAGGGUGCGAGCGUUAAGCGGAAUUACUGGGCGUAAAGCCCUCGUAGGCGGUAGGUCAAGUCAAGUGUGAAAUCCCCGCGCUCAACGUUGGAACUGCCUUUGAAACUGGCAAACUGGAGUGUGUGAGAGGUUAGUGGAAUUCCCGGUGU
This 346-nucleotide ribosomal RNA is filed under the name uncultured bacterium. RNAcentral's name for it is "partial 16S ribosomal RNA". It matches the Rfam family "Bacterial small subunit ribosomal RNA", at positions 338 to 676 of the family's 1533-position model. The record is from RNAcentral.